AGGUGCCCGUACCGCAAACCGACACAGGUAGGUAGGAAGAAGAUUCUAAGGCCAACGGGAGAAGGGUUGUUAAGGAACUCGGCAAAUUGACCCCGUAACUUCGGGAGAAGGGGUGCUCCAGAGAUGGAGCCGCAGAGAAUCGGCCCAAGCAACUGUUUACCAAAAACACAGGUUUGUGCUAAAUCGAAAGAUGACGUAUACGAGCUGACGCCUGCCCGGUGCUGGAAGGUUAAGAGGAGAUGUGCAAGCAUUGAAUCGAAGCCCCAGUGAACGGCGGCCGUAACUAUAACGGUCCUAAGGUAGCGAAAUUCCUUGUCAGGUAAGUUCUGACCCGCAUGAAAGGCGUAAUGAUUUGGGCACUGUCUCAACAGCCCGCCCGGCGAAAUUGUAGUACCGGUGAAGAUGCCGGUUACCCGCGACAAGACGGAAAGACCCCAUGGAGCUUUACUGUAGCCUAAUAUUGGGUUUCGAUGUUGCAUGCACAGGAUAGAUGGGACUCUGGGAAGUGAUCGCUUUGGCGGUCAUGGAGAGGACGUUGGGAUACCAUCCUUGCGAUAUUGGAAUUCUAACCUGCGGCUCUGAAUCGAGUCGGGGGACAUUGUUAGGUGGGCAGUUUGACUGGGGCGGUCGCCUCCUAAAGAGUAACGGAGGCGUUCAAAGGUUCGCUCAGCUUGAACGGAAAUCAAGCAAAAGAGUGCAAACGCAGAAGCGAGCCUAACUGCGAGACUGACGGGUCGAGCAGUAACGAAAGUUGGAGUUAGUGAUCCGGUGGUAUGUGAGUGGAAAUGCCAUCGCUCAACGGAUAAAAGUUACCCUGGGGAUAACAGGCUGAUCUCCCCCAAGAGUCCACAUCGACGGGGAGGUUUGGCACCUCGAUGUCGGCUCAUCGCAUCCUGGGGCUGUAUUCGGUCCCAAGGGUUUGGCUGUUCGCCAAUUAAAGCGGUACGCGAGCUGGGUUCAGAACGUCGUGAGACAGUUCGGUCCCUAUCUGUCGUGGGCGCAGGAUAUUUGAUGGGAGCUGUCCCUAGUACGAGAGGACCGGGACGGACGUACCUCUGGCGCACCAGUUGUUCCGCCAGGAGCAUAGCUGGGCAACUACGUACGGAUCGGAUAAACGCUGAAAGCAUCUAAGCGUGAAGCCGACCCAAAGAUAAGAUAUCCCACUGAUUUGAUCAGGUAAGAUCCCUUGAAGACUACAAGGUUGAUAGGCACGAUGUGUAAGUGGAGCGAUCCAUUCAGCAAGUGUGUACUAAUAGAUCGAGGGCUUGACCAC
Molecule: ribosomal RNA, 1273 nt
Filed under: human gut metagenome
Description: bacterial LSU rRNA
Rfam family: Bacterial large subunit ribosomal RNA
Source: RNAcentral